This 1094-nucleotide long non-coding RNA is filed under the name Sus scrofa (pig). Its description in RNAcentral is "lncRNA (ENSSSCG00035044257.1)". Lineage: Eukaryota; Metazoa; Chordata; Mammalia; Artiodactyla; Suidae. The record is from RNAcentral.
CCUGGUGCUCGACUUCCUUGUAUUUGGGAAAGUGUGGUGGUGGGUGCGCGCUCGCGGCGGAGGGUAAACAUUCGACAGUCCCCGCUCUGAGAGGGAGGGACAGAGAGCGAACUGUCAGAUCCGAGCGGAGCGGGCGGGCGAGAGAGGGAGGGAGAGGGAAAGAGAGAGGGAGAGCGCGCAAACCAGGGCGCAGAGCGAGCUCCCGCGGCAACUCGGCUCCAGCACGGCCAGCGCCAGCGCCGCCGUCGGUGCACCCUCGGAGCCGUGCAUCCUGCCCACUGGAGUUGGUUGUGUAUCAAGGAUCCCCUAUAUGCACACACACACCUCCACCUCCACCAAUGCACUCUUCUUCCUCCUCCUCCUCCAGACCUCUGCUGGGAAAAAAAUAAAACACCAACCCCAACCUUCAGCAGCAAGAGGCAACCAAGAGCUCGGGCAAUAGCAACUUCAGAGAAAUGCACCAUCGCAAGAAGUUUUCCUAGGACAGAACAAAACUUGAAACGCGAGGACCAGAGGGGGAGAGCAGGAGCCAGCCUCUCCUCUCGGCACGCGAGCAGCCAGCAUCACCACGCCUUCAAGGACGAAAAAAGUUUUACUACUCUAAGGGGAGACGAGUGAGCUGCGUUCCUGAGAAGGAGGCGUCAAGGAGCGGCUGGUCGCUGGUCGUCCACGGUUCGGUGAAGAAGAAAGGAGCGGCUUCUUUCUUUGUUGUCCCCCGUGAAAUCUUCACUUAGCAGGUGGACCGAGCCCCGCGCCCGGGCAGGGUCCGCGCUCGCCCGAGGACAGGAGGAGGAGCGCGAGCCGGCGCGCCCGGCCCGGAGCCUCAGCGCAGGCCCGCGCCCCGCCCGGCGAGCCCCACUGGAGCGAGCCGACCGCGCCGGGGCUGGGGGGCGGCCACGACCCCCCCUGAGGGGGGAGGCCACGGAGCGCGCCUCGAGAAGCGAGCCCCCCUCCCCGGAGCGCGGCUCCUGGUGCUGCUGCUGCUGCUGCUGACCAAGGCCGGCCGGCGACCCCCGCGCCCUGCCCAGCGGCCUUGCAGCUGCAGCCGGCGGCCGCGGCGGCGGCGGCGGCGGGGGCGGAGGCGGCGGCGGCGG